RNAcentral lists this transfer RNA (69 nucleotides) under Cyclocheilos enoplos. Its description in RNAcentral is "tRNA-His". It matches the Rfam family "tRNA". Rfam says of the family: Transfer RNA (tRNA) molecules are approximately 80 nucleotides in length. Their secondary structure includes four short double-helical elements and three loops (D, anti-codon, and T loops). Further hydrogen bonds mediate the characteristic L-shaped molecular structure. tRNAs have two regions of fundamental functional importance: the anti-codon, which is responsible for specific mRNA codon recognition, and the 3' end, to which the tRNAs corresponding amino acid is attached (by aminoacyl-tRNA synthetases). tRNAs cope with the degeneracy of the genetic code in two manners: having more than one tRNA (with a specific anti-codon) for a particular amino acid; and 'wobble' base-pairing, i.e. permitting non-standard base-pairing at the 3rd anti-codon position. The record is from RNAcentral. Lineage: Eukaryota; Metazoa; Chordata; Actinopteri; Cypriniformes; Cyprinidae.
GUAAGUAUAGUUUAACCAAAAUAUUAGAUUGUGAUUCUAAAGACAGGGGUUUAAACCCCCUUACUCACC